This 3075-nucleotide ribosomal RNA is filed under the name wastewater metagenome. RNAcentral's name for it is "bacterial LSU rRNA". It matches the Rfam family "Bacterial large subunit ribosomal RNA". The record is from RNAcentral.
UUAAGGUACUAAGGGCGCACGGGGGAUGCCUAGGCACCGACGGCCGAUGAAGGGCGUGGCAAGCUGCGAAAAGCUUCGGUGAGGCGCAAGCGGCCUUUGACCCGGAGAUACCCGAAUGGGGCAACCCGGCUGGUUUAAGACCAGUCACCCGCAAAUAGCGGGGGGAACCCGGCGAAGUGAAACAUCUCAGUAGCCGGAGGAAGAGAAAUCGAACCUUGAGAGAUUCCCUGAGUAGUGGUGAGCGAAAGGGGAAGUAGCCUAAACCACGGGCGUGCAAGGCUGCGGCCGUUGCGUACGUGGGGUUGAGGGGAUGUCGAGGCGGCUGCCGCAGUGGCCGCGUGAAGUUACAAAACCUGUAUCUAGCCGAACCGUGUUGGGAAAGCGGGCCACAGAAUGUGAAAGCCACGUAGGCGAAAGAGACGGGACUUCACCGGACAUACCCCGAGUAGGCCGGAGCACGUGGAAUUCCGGUUGAAUCAGGGCGGACCACCGUCCAAGGCUAAAUACCGUUGGUGACCGAUAGUGAAGCAGUACCGAGAGGGAAAGGUGAAAAGCACCCCUGGCGGGGAGUGAAAAGACCUGAAACCGUGCGCUUACAAGCAAUCGUAGUCCGGCACCCAGCCUGGGGUAUCAGAUUCCCGGGUCUGGAAUGGGGCCUUGGGUAACUAAUACCUUGAGCUGGGUGUCGGAUGGCGGUGUGCCUAUUGAAGAAUGAGCCGGCGAGUUACGGUAUGUGGCGAGGUUAAGGGCUUAUAGGUCUGGAGCCGCAGGGAAACCGAGUCUUAAUAGGGCGAACUAGUCGCAUGCUGUAGACCCGAAGCCGUACGAUCUAUCCAUGGGCAGGUUGAAGCCUCGGUGAAACGAGGUGGAGGACCGCACCACCGGCUGUUGAAAAAGCCUUGGAUGACCUGUGGAUAGGAGUGAAAAGCUAAUCGAGUACGGUGAUAGCUGGUUCUCCCCGAAAUGCAUUUAGGUGCAGCCUCGUAUAAAAAGAGUGGCGGGGGUAGAGCUACUGGAUGGAUGAGGGGGACUGGGGUCCUACCGAUUUCAACCAAACUCCGAAUACCGUUACUUGUAGAUACGGGAGUGAGACUACGGGUGAGAAGGUUCGUGGUCUAAAGGGAAACAGCCCAGACCGACAGCUAAGGUCCCUAAGCCCGCGCUGAGUGUGACAAGGAUGUGGGGGAGCCUGGACAGCCAGGAGGUUGGCUUAGAAGCAGCCACCCUUGAAAGAGUGCGUAACAGCUCACUGGUCGAGCGCCCCUGCGCCGAUAAUGUAGGGGGCUAAGCGCGGCGCCGAAGCUUCGGAACAUACAUACUUAAUAGUAUGUGUAGUUGGUAGGGGAGCGUUCUGUACGGGGCGAAGUCGUGUCGUGAGGCGCGGUGGACUGUACGGAAGUGAGAAUGCCGGCAUAAGUAGCGAGAAACGCGUGGGAAACGCGUUCGCCGAAUGCCCGAGGAUUCCUGGGGAAGGUUCAUCCUCCCAGGGUUAGGCGGGACCUAAGGUGAGGCCGAAGGGCGUAGCCGAUGGACAGCAGGUAGACAAUCCUGCCCCGCCCCGUAACCGUUACUACCGAUGGGGUGACGCAAGAGGCUAGGUGCUCCGGGUGAUGGAAAACCCGGUACAAAGGAGUAGGGGGACGGUCCAGGCAAACCCGGACUGUUGUUAACCCUGAGACCUGACGUGGAUCCGCCGUAACGGUGGAGAAGUCAUUGAGGCCCUAUUGCCGAGAAAAGCCUCUAGGGAGGGUAUGGGGCGCCCGUACCUCAAACCGACACAGGUGGGCUGGCUGAGCAGGCUAAGGCGGACGAGAUAACCCUCACCAAGGAACUCUGCAAGUUGACCCCGUAACUUAGGGAGAAGGGGUGCCGCGGCGGUGAAAUAUAGACAUAUGGAGCUGCUUGCGGUCGCAGAAACCAGGCCCAGGCGACUGUUUAGCAAAAACACAGGACUCUGCUGAAGGCGUGAAGCCGACGUAUAGGGUCUGACACCUGCCCGGUGCUGGAAGGUUAAGGGGAGAGGUUAUUGAUCUUUCGGGAUCGAGAAGCUUUGAACCGAAGCCCCAGUAAACGGCGGCCGUAACUAUAACGGUCCUAAGGUAGCGAAAUUCCUUGUCGGGUAAGUUCCGACCUGCACGAAUGGUGUAACGAUCUGGGCGCUGUCUCGGUGGGGGGCUCGGUGAAAUUGUGGUACCGGUAAAGACGCCGGUUACCCGUGGUGGGACGGGAAGACCCCGUGGAGCUUUACUGUAUCCUGAUAUUGGGUCUCGGUAUGUCAUGUACAGAAUAGGUGGGAGGCAUAGAAGGUGCGGCGUCAGCCGUGCUGGAGCCGUCGUUGGGAUACCACCCUUGAUGUACUGGGGUUCUAACCGCGAGUUCUGAAUCGGACCGCGGGACAUUGUCAGGUGGGCAGUUUGACUGGGGCGGUCGCCUCCUAAAGAGUAACGGAGGCGCGCGAAGGUCACCUCGAGGCGAAUGGAAAUCGUCUUUGAGAGUGCAAGGGUAUAAGGUGGCCUUACUGUGAGACCGACGGGUCGAACAGUCUCGAAAGAGGGUCCUAGUGAUCCGGCGGUACCGAGUGGAAGGGCCGUCGCUCAACGGAUAAAAGCUACCCCGGGGAUAACAGGCUGAUCUUGCCCGAGAGUUCCCAUCGACGGCAAGGUUUGGCACCUCGAUGUCGGCUCGUCGCGUCCUGGGGCUGAAGCAGGUCCCAAGGGUUGGUCUGUUCGCCCAUUAAAGCGGUACGUGAGCUGGGUUUAGAACGUCGUGAGACAGUUCGGUCCCUAUCCACCAUGGGCGCAAGUGGUUUGAGGGGAGCUGCUCCUAGUACGAGAGGACCGGAGUGGACGCACCUCUGGUGUACCGGUUGUGCCGCCAGGCGCAUACGCCGGGUAGCUAUGUGCGGAACGGAUAACCGCUGAAAGCAUCUAAGUGGGAAGCCGGCCCCGAGAUGAGACCACUCGCCGCGACUAAAGCGGGUAAGGUAUCACGGAGACUACGUGAUCGAUAGGCCAGAGGUGUAAGGGCUGCGAGGCCUUGAGCUGACUGGUACUAAUUGACCGAGGCCUUAACCUC